Molecule: ribosomal RNA, 624 nt
Filed under: uncultured bacterium
Lineage: Bacteria
Description: bacterial SSU rRNA
Rfam family: Bacterial small subunit ribosomal RNA
Source: RNAcentral
ACCUUCCGUACACUCAGGGAUAGCCUUUCGAAAGAAAGAUUAAUACCUGAUGGUAUGAUGAGAUUGCAUGAUAGCAUCAUUAAAGAUUUAUCGGUGUACGAUGGGGAUGCGUUCCAUUAGGUAGUAGGCGGGGUAACGGCCCACCUAGCCAACGAUGGAUAGGGGUUCUGAGAGGAAGGUCCCCCACAUUGGAACUGAGACACGGUCCAAACUCCUACGGGAGGCAGCAGUGAGGAAUAUUGGUCAAUGGACGAGAGUCUGAACCAGCCAAGUAGCGUGAAGGAUGAAGGUCCUACGGAUUGUAAACUUCUUUUAUAAGGGAAUAAACCCUCCCACGUGUGGGAGCUUGUAUGUACCUUAUGAAUAAGCAUCGGCUAACUCCGUGCCAGCAGCCGCGGUAAUACGGAGGAUGCGAGCGUUAUCCUGAUUUAUUGGGUUUAAAGGGAGCGCAGACGGGUCGUUAAGUCAGCUGUGAAAGUUUGGGGCUCAACCUUAAAAUUGCAGUUGAUACUGGCGUCCUUGAGUGCGGUUGAGGUGUGCGGAAUUCGUGGUGUAGCGGUGAAAUGCUUAGAUAUCACGAAGAACUCCGAUUGCGAAGGCAGCACACUAAUCCGUAACUGACGU